RNAcentral lists this ribosomal RNA (495 nucleotides) under uncultured Pezizomycotina. Its description in RNAcentral is "eukaryotic LSU rRNA". The stretch from base 131 to 284 matches the Rfam family "5.8S ribosomal RNA". The record is from RNAcentral. Lineage: Eukaryota; Fungi; Ascomycota.
GGGACUUCGGUCCUUGCUGCACCCUUGUCUUUUGCGUACCGUAUGUUUCCUCGGCGGGCUUGCCUGCCGGUUGGACAUUAUCAAACCUUUUUGUAGUUGCAAUCAGCGUCAGAAAAUAAACAAUAAUUACAACUUUCAACAACGGAUCUCUUGGUUCUGGCAUCGAUGAAGAACGCAGCGAAAUGCGAAAAGUAAUGUGAAUUGCAGAAUUCAGUGAAUCAUCUAAUCUUUGAACGCACAUUGCGCCCCUUGGUAUUCCAUGGGGCAUGCCUGUUCGAGCGUCAUUUUGUACCCUCAAGCACUGCUUGGUGUUGGGCGUUUGUCCUGCAAAGGACUCGCCUGAAAGCGAUUGGCGGCCAACGUACUGGUGGUAGAGCGCAGCACAAUUUGCGUCUCUCCCUUCUACGUCGGCGUCCAUGAAGCCUUUUUUCAACGUUUGACCUCGGAUCAGGUAGGGAUACCCGCUGAACUUAAGCAUAUCAAUACAGCGGAGGA